UUCUAUACACACCACUCUGAAUGGACCCAAUCUUGCUUGAUCUCUGCAGCUAAGCAGGUUCAGGACUGGUUAGUCCUUGAAUGGGAGACUGCCAGUGACCACUUAGUGCUAUAAAGAGA
RNAcentral lists this ribosomal RNA (119 nucleotides) under Notamacropus eugenii (tammar wallaby). Lineage: Eukaryota; Metazoa; Chordata; Mammalia; Diprotodontia; Macropodidae. The record is from RNAcentral.